RNAcentral lists this long non-coding RNA (777 nucleotides) under Ananas comosus (pineapple). RNAcentral describes it as "long non-coding RNA (ACOM_LNC008801)". The record is from RNAcentral. Lineage: Eukaryota; Viridiplantae; Streptophyta; Magnoliopsida; Poales; Bromeliaceae.
AUAUAUAGGCUGAGUGAAUAAUCUGAGUUUAGUUAAAAUUGGGCCAAUAUUGUUGGCCCAUAAAAACAAACCCAAUAGACAAAUAAAAGAGCAAAAUUUUACUAAAUUUAUACAUUUUUUCCUUGUUUCUUUCUUUCACAGAACUCUAAAUUUUCAAUAUGUUUCUCUAUUUCUCUUUUUCUGUCUCUCACCCUAAGCGGCCAAGCCGGAAGUCCUCCAAAUUACCAAGUAAUAGCAUAUGCUUGCCGUUGCCUACCUUGCUAUUAAUUGUAUGCUUGAAAAAAAUAUACAUAAUAUUUUUAAAGUAAAAAAUUAUUAUUCAUAUAAAAUUUUAAUUUUUGUUAUAUAUGAUUGGAUAGUUUAAUCCAAUAUUUAUCUAUAUAAUUUAUUUAUUUUUGACUGCAUAAAUAAAAAUAAAUAAUAUGGAGAUUGAAGGCGUAAGAAAAGACAUGUAGGCUGAAAACAUUAGAUAUUCAACUCAUAAAUUAUUUUUUUCAUAUUAUAAUAUUAUAUUUUAUAUAAGUAUUUUGUAAUUUGAACUAUUAGGCAUAUUUUUGUAUCAAAUUAUAGAUAAUGUUCUAUACAAAUUAAACUUUUGAUCGUAUGUUGUUGAGAAUUUCAAACGGCUCGUUUAGGGCUCAAGCUCGCUCGACUCGAAAUUAAGCUUGCUCGAGCUCGGCUCCAAUUAAUUUCAAUCCAAACUUGAGCUUAAAUUUAAGCUCGAAAUUACUUUCAAGCCGAAUUUGAGCCGAGAUAAGCUCGCUCGAGCUCGGGCUC